This 429-nucleotide ribosomal RNA is filed under the name Chloroflexota bacterium. Its description in RNAcentral is "Chloroflexi bacterium partial 16S ribosomal RNA". It matches the Rfam family "Bacterial small subunit ribosomal RNA", at positions 355 to 776 of the family's 1533-position model. Lineage: Bacteria; Bacillati; Chloroflexota. The record is from RNAcentral.
UGGGGAAUAUUGCACAAUGGGCGCAAGCCUGAUGCAGCCAUGCCGCGUGUGUGAAGAAGGCCUUCGGGUUGUAAAGCACUUUCAGCGGGGAGGAAGGCGAUAAGGUUAAUAACCUUGUCGAUUGACGUUACCCGCAGAAGAAGCACCGGCUAACUCCGUGCCAGCAGCCGCGGUAAUACGGAGGGUGCAAGCGUUAAUCGGAAUUACUGGGCGUAAAGCGCACGCAGGCGGUCUGUCAAGUCGGAUGUGAAAUCCCCGGGCUCAACCUGGGAACUGCAUUCGAAACUGGCAGGCUAGAGUCUUGUAGAGGGGGGUAGAAUUCCAGGUGUAGCGGUGAAAUACGUAGAGAUCUGGAGGAAUACCGGUGGCGAAGGCGGCCCCCUGGACAAAGACUGACGCUCAGGUGCGAAAGCGUGGGGAGCAAACAGG